This 433-nucleotide ribosomal RNA is filed under the name uncultured bacterium. Its description in RNAcentral is "partial 16S ribosomal RNA". It matches the Rfam family "Bacterial small subunit ribosomal RNA", at positions 29 to 507 of the family's 1533-position model. The record is from RNAcentral.
AACGAACGCUGGCGGCAUGCCUAACACAUGCAAGUCGAACGAAGGCUUCGGCCUUAGUGGCGCACGGGUGCGUAACGCGUGGGAAUCUGCCCUUUGGUUCGGAAUAACAGCUGGAAACGGCUGCUAAUACCGGAUGAUGACGAAAGUCCAAAGAUUUAUCGCCAGAGGAUGAGCCCGCGUUGGAUGAGGUAGUUGGUGGGGUAAAGGCCUACCAAGCCGACGAUCCAUAGCUGGUCUGAGAGGAUGAUCAGCCACACUGGGACUGAGACACGGCCCAGACUCGUAGGGGAGGCAGCAGUGGGGAAUAUUGGACAAUGGGCGCAAGGCUGAGCCAGCACUGCCGCGUGAGUGAUGAAGGCCCUAGGGUUGUAAAGCUCUUUUACCCGGGAAGAUAAUGACGGUACCGGGAGAAUAAGCCCCGGCUAACUCCGUG